Long non-coding RNA from Girardinichthys multiradiatus, 2416 nucleotides. RefSeq lists it as uncharacterized. The transcript is spliced from 2 exons. NCBI's taxonomy places the organism in Eukaryota, Metazoa, Chordata, Actinopteri, Cyprinodontiformes, Goodeidae. The record is from RefSeq and is a predicted model, not a curated record.
CCGACCCGAGGGCGAAGACACCCAAAGCAGCCAAGCAGUCCAAAAAAGACUCUAACAAUGAGUGGAAAACUACAUUCUCAUCAAGCAAGACCUCCUUCACCAAAGGCAGGGUUUCGUUCCUGAGGACAAACUUGUUCAUCUCCUGGGGAAAAUCCUCGUUUUCCUGGAGCAAAACCAUUGUAACUUUAGGCAGCAACAGCAUAACGGUGGCUAAAACUUCGGUGACACGGGGGGAGACCACAAGCUCUUUCAUGACUAUUACCUUUACCUAUGGGACCAAGUCUGUGUCUGUUGUCAAGACCACCCUCAUCAGGGGCAAAGAAAGGCACAGCAACAUCUACUGGAAUUUUCACACUUGAAUCCUGCACACAAAUAAAAGCUCAUGGAUGUGUCUGUGUGGUCAGUUUUAGAAGUCCUGGCCUAACCAGCAGGAUCAGAUGACACUGGCAAACUCAACGCUAGCAGCAGCUGCACCAAAGGAAACACCCUUUCUGGCACUGGACUGGAACAAAAAGUCAAGAUUUGCUCUCUCGUAGUUUGGGUCAAAUCCAAAUAGCAAAGCAGGUUCUCUUUUUCACAAUUCCCCUCUGUAAAGAAGCGUCAAAGCAAAGUGUUUCAUGGUCAGCGGAGGUGCAGACGGAUCAGGGAGUAAGAUGGACAGUGAGGGUGUUUGAUUAAGAGAUAAUAAGUGUGUGAAUCAGAUCGGUUUACAGGAGAGGAAUAUAAGUGUGAGAGUAGCUCCAUAGUAAGUGGAUCAGCUGAUGAUUUGUCCCAAAAUGUACUGAAACCUCUGCUGUAAUUAUAGAUACUUGAUAGAAGUAGGAAUGAUUAAGGAAUCAUGAAACAUGCUAAAGAAAAGUUGCACAUUAUAACAAGCACAUGCAAAUUUGAAUAAUUGUUGACGCAUUUUGACAGAGAAAGGUGGAAUAAUGCACAAAAUGAUGCAAAGCUGCACGUCCCACCUGCAUAAACGUGAAUUUUUGUGUUUACAACAGCGGAUUUUUAUCAUAUUCUGUAAAAUCACACCUCAGAAGAGCAGGUCAUGUCUUUUCCCUCCCUGAGCCUUUUGUAACUCUUCCCAUCACCUUUCUCACUCAUCGUAUUUAUUCCUUCUCAGGUUCUCAGUGUCCACAGCAACACUCAUCCUGCAGUCACCGACCACCACGGAGAGGCUAAAAGCAACAAAUCAGUCAAUUUGAAACCCAACAGUACAGGAUGUGUACACUAUCAUCAUUGCUUAUUGAAAAACGUUUGAUCAAAUUAGGCUCAGAUUGGCUUAUUCUUGCAUGUCAAAUUUUCACUCUCUCCGGGAAGCCUCAGCUGAGUUAAAGUUUAAAAAAAACUGUUGCUACUGGCAACUGGACAUGCUACACCAUGUUAUUUCUCCAAUUUCAAAACUGCCACCACAGAUUCAAGCCAGGAAGAAACACUCCUAUUUAAAAUCCCAUCAUCAUUCAUAGCUUUCAUCUUGUUUAUUACACGAUGAAUGGUGCAGAACUGUUCCCUGAAAUGAUGCAAAUAUUUGCUCAAGCUUCCAGGUUUCCCUUCCCUAUACGCAUGCGCCCUCUGUUGUAAAUGUAUCUCUGAUUAAAGCAGCCUCAGCUCGCUGAAACACUGAGCUGAGAUCAGUUAUAUAGGACUCUGACAAGAAACUUUAAAAAGAAAAACAAGAAUUUUUUCCUCCUAAGGCGAAACUGAAACCGUGUUUUUUCCCCAACAAAUUAAGAAAUGAAAGGGUUAAUCUUUUACCACUGAGAAAAUAGACUUUUUACAAUUAUACACACAUACAUCAGGAUAAAAGGAAGGCUUGGCAUGCUGCACUAAUGAAAAGCACUAACAUCAUUUAGCUCACGUAGUCAGCCAGGUAUCUGUGUCUGGAUUCUGGAUAACUUAUCAGAAGAACGCCCAGGCUGCCGUGAUGACCAGCCAAAGGGGCUGCUGCUCAUUCAGCAUCUACCCCCAUUAAGGCUACACGGUCAUGUAACGACUACUCAUGUCAACUCAGAGUGGGCUAGAAAGGUCAGAAAUGUGAUGGAAGAGAAGAUCGGACAGAAACAGAGAAGCAACCUGGAGGAAAAUCUCCUUUAAAGUGAACUUAAUCAUUAAAAGAAAUGAGGAAAAUAAAGAAUUUGGAGUGAGCAUUACUGAUAGAAAGUAUUUUGAGAAUUAUUUCUGUCUCGUCUUGUGUGUGAUUAAACUGCUUCAAUGAUUAAAAGUGUCUUAGCAUGGUCAGGGCAAACUGAAUCUGUGUUUGUGGUUCCUCAGUAAUCUUUGUGUUGAAAGUCCAGUGUGAGAUUGUUUUGUUAUUUUCUUUGCAGGCAUGCUCUGCUUUGUGUUGUGUGUUGUGGCUCAGUGUAUCUCACUUUAAUGCAAAAAGGACCAUAAAAAAAAAUAAAAAUGCUUGACUGUGUGUCUA